CCUACGGGAGGCAGCAGUGAGGAAUAUUGGUCAAUGGACGAGAGUCUGAACCAGCCAAGUAGCGUGAAGGAUGACUGCCCUAUGGGUUGUAAACUUCUUUUAUAUGGGAAUAAAACGUUCCACGUGUGGGAUUUUGUAUGUACCAUAUGACUAAGGAUCGGCUAACUCCGUGCCAGCAGCCGCGGUAAUACGGAGGAUCCGAGCGUUAUCCGGAUUUAUUGGGUUUAAAGGGAGCGUAGGUGGAUUGUUAAGUCAGUUGUGAAAGUUUGCGGCUCAACCGUAAAAUUGCAGUUGAAACUGGCAGUCUUGAGUACAGUAGAGGUGGGCGGAAUUCGUGGUGUAGCGGUGAAAUGCUUAGAUAUCACGAAGAACUCCGAUUGCGAAGGCAGUUCACUGGACUGCAACUGACACUGAGGCUCGAAAGUGUGGGUAUCAAACAGGAUUAGAUACCCGUGUAGUC
Molecule: ribosomal RNA, 460 nt
Filed under: uncultured bacterium
Lineage: Bacteria
Description: partial 16S ribosomal RNA
Rfam family: Bacterial small subunit ribosomal RNA
Source: RNAcentral